Molecule: ribosomal RNA, 56 nt
Filed under: Salmonella enterica subsp. enterica serovar Heidelberg str. N4541
Lineage: Bacteria; Pseudomonadati; Pseudomonadota; Gammaproteobacteria; Enterobacterales; Enterobacteriaceae
Description: partial 16S ribosomal RNA
Source: RNAcentral
AAAUUGAAGAGUUUGAUCAUGGCUCAGAUUGAACGCUGGCGGCAGGCCUAACACAC